CCUACGGGUGACAGCAGUGAGGAAUAUUGGACAAUGGGCGCGAGCCUGAACCAGCCAAGUAGCGUGAGGGAUGAAUGCCCUACGGGUUGUAAGCUUCUUUUAUAAAGGAAUAAAGUGUGGCACGUGUGCCUUUUUGUAUGUACUUUAUGAAUAAGGAUCGGCUAACUCCGUGCCAGGAGCCGCGGUAAUACGGAGGAUCCGAGCGUUAUCCGGAUUUAUUGGGUUUAAAGGGAGCGUAGAUGGGUUGUUAAGUCAGUUGUGAAAGUUUGCGGCUCAACCGUAAAAUUGCAAUUGAUACUGGCAGCCUUGAGUACAGUAGAGGUAGGCGGAAUUCGUGGUGUAGCGGUGAAAUGCUUAGAUAUCACGAAGAACUCCGAUUGCGAAGGCAGCCUACUAAACUGCCACUGACAUUGAUGCUCGAAAGUGUGGGUAUCAAACAGGAUUAGAUACCCUGGUAGUC
Molecule: ribosomal RNA, 460 nt
Filed under: uncultured bacterium
Lineage: Bacteria
Description: partial 16S ribosomal RNA
Rfam family: Bacterial small subunit ribosomal RNA
Source: RNAcentral